This 3549-nucleotide long non-coding RNA is filed under the name Paramuricea clavata. Lineage: Eukaryota; Metazoa; Cnidaria; Anthozoa; Malacalcyonacea; Plexauridae. The record is from RNAcentral.
GUUGGUCACAAAAUGACCUACGUCAUUUUUUUGUCAAACAUUACGUCAUUACUUUCAGUCGCUGGAUUCAAGAUGGCCGCCUAUUUGGGAGCGUAUUCGGAAAUAAUUUCAUCGAUUUUGUGCAUAUUUUCUUCAUUUUUUCGAUGAAACUUAAUAGUUUUCCCAUCAGCCAGACUCUAUAAACCGAAAGUCAUCUUAUAUGAGUAAACUUGGAAGACUGGAAGCCUGAAAUAGACGACAAAAGUUCACAAUUUUCACAAAGUUGGAACUUCGUAAAUUGCAACAAUAAUAUUCGCAAGUUGCUGUUUAUUUGGAUGUAAAUAGAAUCUGCUUAAUGGGACAAGGGUUUAAUAGAGCUCCUUGCCUUGCUGGCUAAUGAUAUUUUAAAAGCUCUCAGGACAGCUGUUAUCUCACAAUAGGUAUUGUACAAUUCAAACACACAGAACAUAUUAAUUUGUAUAAUAGAUAAAUUUGGCAAAGUUAGUUACAUUGUUGCUAUGCAAUUCAAAACUUUAAAUAUUCAUGCCUAGUUAGUGUUCUACAGUAGUUCACACAUAGAAUAGAACAGAGGUAACUAAGCAUUUGAUAAGCCCUAUACACUAUAAAAGUCAUUCAUUCAUUCAUAUAGCUAGAUAAUUCUAAAGCUUAGUUAUCUUUGCUCUACUCUAUGCUUCAGUACACCAGAACAAUGAUACUUAAGGCUGCAUUCCAGUUUCAUAGGUGCGUACGCGCACGUAAAAGUUGAAUUCGCUUAAAAUUUCAUAUAAGUGCAAAUAACCUUAACAAAUACACAUUAAAUCAUACACAAAACUGAAUGCUGUCCUCCUAUAAAUUUAGUUAUUUCAUAACGCGUAACUGGAAUGCAGCCUUAAGGCAUGUGACUUAUGUAAAGUUGCGAAUUUAUAACCAAACUUAGACAAAUUUGUUUAUUGUCUAUAGUCCGGGGACUUGUUUGAUGAACUUUGUUUUAAUUUUUCCUUGAAUCCCAUUUUUGACAAAAACAAUUUUAUUAUAUGAACACAUAAACUUAACAAACAAAUAGCAGUCUUAAUCUCAAUCGCAUGCAGCAUAAUAUGCAAUAGCCCCAGCGACUAACGCUCAAUAGAGCGUCUUGUUUAGUUAAAACGUUCGACGCCGUUUCGAGUGUUUUAUGUAAAUUUACUGACUUUUGCUACUUAAGAGUGUUUAAAAUAAAGAUAAGUACUUUUAAUGGGCAAAUAAAGUAUAGUAUGCAUGCAUGCUUUGGACUGAAUAAAAAAUGUAUUUAUAUUAAUUUAAUCUUAUUUUCUGACUUUGCCGCUCUCGCUAAAAUUUCAAACCAAUUCAUCCACAAUUAUUGUUAUGAUCCGCUUUAGUACCUCAUUGCCACAAAUUGAAUACAGGCGUAGCCACCUUGUCUGAUACUGUGAUAGCAAUGCGAUAGUCGUUUCAAGCUUGAUCAGCAUAAAUAAUACUAAUAUUUGCAUGUCAUUUACACACUUCAGAGUUCAGUAGUCUUAAUUUAGACGCCAUACUUAAAACACAACAGCGUUAAUUUUAUGCUUUAUUCUUCAGAAGAAGUCGCUCGAAGAUGGAAUCGAAUUAUUCUAUCAAUCUGUUAGCCAUAUUUGCUGUGAACGUAUUCUUCUUUUUCUCAGGAAUAUUUUUAAAUUCCUUGGUUAUACUCAGUUUCUGGAGGUCUGUACAGCUUCGAAAAAAAUUAUGUUACUUCAUGGUAAUGGUUUUGUCCUGUUGCGAUUUGCUCGGGGUUAUAACUAACAGUCCAUUGAUGGCUCUGAUCGCGAUCAUAUGCUUUACUGGAAAAUGGGAUGAAAAUGCUGGAUGGGCUCAUAUUUCCUCAACAUCGACAAGUAGUUUCCUUGCUUUUUCAUUAUUCGCUCUUCUGGUGAUGAAUUUCGAUCGAUAUUUGGCGACAUCUUAUCCUAUCUUUCAUCGAACGUCGGUAACAAAGGGAAAACUUUUAACUCUUCUUGCAAUACUGAUCACCAUCGAAGUAAUUUUGAGAGCGAUGUCUGUGAAUAACUUUCUUAUUUCCAACCAAUGGCAUGCUGCAAUUUUUUUUAGUUUUUUCAUUCCUCCAAUGUUAUUUAUCAACUACAAACUUAUUCUAGUCGUCAGGAAAAGUCGUAAAAACAAAAGAAUAUCACUCGAAAUCAAAAAGACGUUUUCUUUCAAAAAUGUUUCUAGUUGUUUGCUAACAGUCGCUUGUGUUGUGGUGUUAUCCAUUCCAAUGGUCGUCUACAUUGGAUUAAAGAUAAGCUCACCAAAGACAACAGGCACUUUAAGUAUCGCAUACCUUGCAAGACUCUGGGCAAAAACCAUAAGCUUGAUGAAUGGUACAUUUAACUGUUUAAUCUUUUACUGGAAAAACAAGGUGUUACGUACCGAAGGAUUAAAAGUUUUGAAAAGCCUGAAGAUAUGUCGACGGGUUGAAUCCCGCUAGCUGCAUUUAUAACCCUUCUUCACGAAAACUUAACGUUCCAAAGAAACUCGUUGCAUUUCAGGAUUUUAAUUUUGCCUUACACUGUAUCCUCAUGGCUUAGCUAACAAUAUCUUGAUCAUAGUAAAUGUGAACACAACAACUAUAAACUCAUAGGCAGGUGUGUCAAAAAUAGCUGACCAGUUUUGGCAUGUUAUUUUGCGUUAAAUAUUGCGUACAUAGAUUUAAUUUCCCCAUACUAAUAAGGAUUACGCCUUUGACUAUCGAAUGAGACUUUUUUUGUAUCAUUGCGUUACGAACUGGCUUAUUAUUUCUGCCGUUAAUGGCUAUAGACUAUAUUAUACAGCAAUUAUUUUUAUCAUUCGCUCUCGUCGUAUAUGGCUGACACCGACUUGGCGAGCUAUCACUUAUCAGGACAUAUACGACUCGAGCUUAUGACAUAAUUGUUAAUUAUACACACUUUAGUAAUUCGUUAUAAUGACUUUGAGUAGUUUUGGCAACAAAAGGCCAAUAGUACAUUGUUACACUGCAUUAAUAUAUAAGUAGUACGUUGUAUAAUUACUUUGCUAUAGUGCGAGUGCCAUUUAAUAGAAUAACACAGAGACAUAUAGUUAUAGAGUAAAAAUAGAAAGUGAGACUGCAGUUUGUAUUUCUAAAUAUUUCGUAAGUAUUAAAUUCUCAUUAUUGGGAAUGGUAAAACUAGAGACAGUUGUAGUUAGGCGCUUCAGAGUUUCAAUAAAUUCAAGGAAAGGAACGUUUGAUUGUGAGUUUCUCUGAAAAUGUCCUGGCAGACUGUAUUCUGCCUUUUUUCGGCCCCAGGCCAUUUUUCUGCUGUUGCAAUGACAGAAAAUGAUUGGUACUUAUAAACUUCCAAGUUUUUUCUUCGUGAAAUUAUAAAGAGAAUUAUGUUGAAAGCAGAAUAUUGUGUUUAUAAAGUCAACACAUAAGUAAAGCACCUGCUUAGGGACUUUGUUUUAAGUUUAAAGUUGAAACUGAGAUUUGGCGUAAAUAAUUUCGCUGGCAAAUGGGAUUUAGAAUUUUAGGACCCUUUCAUAAAUUAUGAAAUAUUUCCAAACACAUCCAAACACAGAGGGAUAUUAUCUCUUCUC